GUUAUAUUAAUAAAAUAUUACUUGUAUUUUAUAGCUUAUCAUGUUUGAGCAACAUUGCAAUAUUGAAAAUCUUGGUCGAGUUAACAAAGUUAAGGUCAAAAGGCGAAUCACAGUGGAGAGUUUGCAAUUAGAACCACCUUGUAAUCAGGUUGCUGAAUUUCUCCUUUUUCUAUAUUUUGUUCACUGAGGGUAUAUUGAUUUAGAUGUCAGUAACGUGUUUCCUCUAUCUUAAAUGCAGUUAGGCUUGUAGGUUUUCUAUUCAGCAUUGAAGCCUGUUUAUUCCUAGUUUAAAUUCAUAAAUGAAACUGAAAAUGUUGAUAUAUGUUGCUUGAAUUCAAAAUGCUAAUGUUCAGUUGCAUUGUAAGAUAAACUUCCUGGUUUACUUGUCAGCAUUCUUUCUUUUGCAAUUAUAUGGAUUGUCAUUGUUUUUCCAAAUAUUGCUUCUUUCUUUUGGCUGACUGUUUUUCUUUUCUUUCUGAUGAGUUGGCGAAUUUCAUAAUCUACAGAGCAUGGAGAAGUUCUUUGUAGCACCCCAAACCUAACCCAGACAUUAUGGCCGGAUCCGACAUGCCACAUCGAAGCGUUCAAAACAUUUUAUAUUGUUGAUCCAGAAAAACCUACUUAGUGUUUUAAAAGAUAAUUUUAUUAUAGGUUAAAGUGGAUGGAAGCUAUGUACCAGGUAGGAAACCGGAAAAAAGUAGGUGAGUCUAUCGGACUACUUAAGUACUAAGCUCCCUUCGGAUUCAAUCCUAAACAUGCACACCGCCAUUGCCACACCUUAACGCCAUGUAUAUUUCUAGGAAACCGAUUUGAUUAAGUCAUUUUUAGGAAAAGUGAUUAAUUUUGGAAAAUACUUUCAUUGCGGAAGCUUUGCUUGUUGUCGUUAUUUUGAAAUCAAUUGUUUUUUUUUUUGAAAACGUGUCCUAAAGCUAUCCAAUUUCAACAGUUAAAAUAAGUAAUACCUAUCUUAGUAAUACAUAUUAAAACCAUCAAAAAUAAUUAAGCGGUCUUAUUACAUUUAAAAACCCAAACCUCAACGUAAAUAAUAGGAUGUCCAAUUCAUCAGAAGAAAAUCAAUCUCCGAAUUCCCUCACAGCUUCAAGCCCACUAUGGUUGGGGAUUAUCUACGUGGAUGAAAAUAAAAAGGGUGAGUUUGGGGAAACUCAGUGUGUAAGGAAAACUCAUUCAAAGCCUAAGUCAGCUCAAGCCUAUUGGGCCUAAGCCCAUUCAGGUAACAGUGGUACUGGACCAGAAGCCUUUUCAGAUUACAAUAAACUGGGCCUUAACCCCUUAUUCAGAUAACAGUAUGGCCCAUAGGCCCAUUUCAAAAUACAUGUAACAUCAAUAACAUAUGCAAGCUCAUUUGGGGAGACUACUCAACCCACCAACCACUACACUCCACCCGUACCAGCCCUACACUCCAUGCGGGGAAUAGCUCAACUCACCCAGCCCAACACUCUACAGUUGCAGCCUUGCUGCUCAGUUAAUAGUAAAUUGAGGCAAAGCCUCCAGUACGUGGACAAGCCACUUUCAGUACUUCCUCCGUCAAUAUCCCAAUCCCAUGCAUCAGAUAAUAACAACAUGGCAUGCAGUAAAUAAUAACAAUCAAACAUGCAUUUAGGUCAAUUUAACCCUAGGGGUAUUUCGGUAAUUUAUCUACUAAGGGUAAAACUAUAAAUUUUUCACUUUUAAAGGUAUUUCAGUAAUUUAUCUAUUUUAGGCUUUUUCAUGCAUAUUCCUACUUUUCACGUACUAACAGAAUCACGUACCGAGGGUUCUUACCGAAUUGGGCCCGCUGGCCCAUCAUUCCAAUUUUGACCCAUUAAGCCCAAAAAUAUCGAUGGCACAGAAAUCAUGCACUUUGCAGUCCAAAUUUUGCAGCUUACCAAAAAUAUUAAUCGAUUUACCUCACGAGCAUUCGCACACACGAAAAUCUACAAAAUACCAGUUUUCGGCAUUUUGGCUUUUCGACUUUUGCCGAUCCAGACUAAGAAAGAGGGUGUUAGUUACACACCUAUUUGCAACGAUAUGCUGACGAGAUCCACACACGAACUGCCUACAAUUGGAUUACUAACACAUUAAUCUAACUAUUCAAAUACGAACUACGUAUUAACCCCUUACAAUAUUCGGCCAACAACACCUACAGAUCAUAGUAAGCUUAUAAGAAAACAAUAAGCAACUCAUGAACAAAUUUUUGUCAAUGUUUACCACAUAAUCAUAAUUUCACUGCAAGCUGUCUUCCUGAGCAACAGUCACUAAAUUAUUUAUAACUGGAGCUACGAAACUCCAAAUCAAGUGCCGUUAAUUUUCCCUGAAAAUAGACUCAUAUAUCUUCUAUCCAUAAAAAUUUCAGAAUUUUUGGUAUGACCAAUAAAUACCAGAUUUUUCUUAAAGUUUCCCAUGUUUCACUGUUUGACUAAUCUGACCACUCUUUAUUACGAAUCAAAUUUCUCAUUGUACAGAAUUCAAAAUAUGUUCUAGUUUAUUCCAUUUGAAACUAGACUCAUUAAGAUUUAAUUACAUAAUUUAUUCAGCUUCUAAUUCAUCUCCCACAAUUUAUGGUGAUUUUCCAAAGUCACGUUACUGCUGCUGUCCCAAGAAGAUUUAUUACCAAAUUCACUCUUUCACACAUAACUUGCAUGCAUGUUAUUUAAACAUGUAUAUCACCAAUCAAUCAUCACAUAUCUAUGAUUUUACUUAAGUAUAAUCUCCAUUUCAUCAUUUUAAAGCACAACAUGUUAGCCGAUUUUUUCCUUUAGCAUCUAAGGCACAUGCAUGUUCAUUUGUUUGGCUCAACUUCACCUAUCUUCCAUUUUUCAUCAAAAGAACAUGAAACAACAACCAUUUCCUUCAUUUUAAUUCAUGACCAAAUGCUCACAACACAACCAAAAAAACUAAAAUAUGCUUCAAGAGUUAAGGUAGAAUCAAGAAGAACUCAUGAACAUCAAGAUAGAAGCAAACUACCAUGAACUUAUCUUCAAUUUUCUUCCCCAAGUGACCAAACAUUCAAAAGCUUUCUCCUCUCAUUUCUCUUCUCUAACUUUCGGCUAUGAUGAACAAAGAUGGAAAAAACUUUGUUCUUUUCACCCCUUUUUAUUUUAAUAAAAUUUCAUAUUUCAUCCAUUUAAUUCUUUAAUACAAAAGACAUGAAAUGCCCAUCAUGGAACAUUUACCUAAACCAUUAUCAUGGAACAUUUACCUAACCCAUUAUCAUGGAAUAUUUACCUAAUCCAUUAUCAUGGAAUAUUUACCUAACCCAUUAUCAAUUUGUACCAUGAAUUAUGGAUAUCAAGUGCUCAUAUUGUCUACAACAACAUGAUGGCUGGCCACUUCAUGUAAAAUGGGAGGUUUGUCAUGCAAAUCUUCCUAUUUUGCACUCCUAUUUAUUUGGCCACUUCAAUUUAGCCUAUAGCAUUUUCAAACAUUUUCACAUAGGUCCUAUUUCAUAAUUUCACCCCAUUUUUUUUCUUAUGAAACAAAAAUUAACUAAAAUUGCCGGGUUCUAUCUUAAGCUUGGGCCUUUUAGAGGCCCACUAACAUAAUUAAACCUAUGCCAACAUUCACAGAAUUCCCGAAAAUUGGGGCGUUACAACUCUACCCCCCUUAAAGAAAUUUUGGCCUCGAAAUUUACCUGAUCCAAAUAGUUGAGGGUAUUGUUGACGCAUAGUCUCUUCUGAUUCCCAAGUAGCUUCUUCCCUUCCAUGAUUACGCCACAGUACUUUUACCAACGGAACCAACUUCCUUCUUAGAACUUUAACCUCUCGAUCUAAAAUUUGUAUGGGUUCUUCCUCAAAGGUCAAAUCAGUCCUUACUUCAAUCUCUUCCACUGGCACAACAUGUGAGGGAUCCGAUCGAUAUCGUCUUAGCAUAGACACAUGAAAGACGUCAUGGAUUCUGUCUAACUCUGGUGGUAACUCUAACUGAUACGCUACUGGCCCUACCCGUUUAAGAAACCGAUAAGGCCCUAUAAACCGCAGACUCAAUUUGCCUUUCUUGCCGAAUCUCAAGAUCUUCUUCCAAGGUGAAACCUUUAAGAAAACCAUAUCCCCAACCGCGAACUCUAUCUCUUUACGCUUUAGAUCCGCAUACGACUUUUGUCUAUUAGAUGCCUCCUUUAAUCGAUCUCUUAUCAACUUAACAUUACUUUCAGUAUCUGCCACCAACUCCGGUCUAAGCACUUGCCAUUCACCCAACUCUGUCCAACACGUAGGUGUACGACAUCUCCGCCCAUAAAGUGCCUCAUAUGGAGCCAUCUGAAUACUUGCUUGGUAGCUGUUAUUGUAUGCAAACUCUGCCAAUGGCAAGUAAUCCUCCCAACUCCCACUAAAAUCGAUGAUACAACCCCUUAACAUAUCCUCCAAAAUUUGAAUAACCCUCUCCGACUAUCCAUCUGUCUGUGGGUGAAAGGCAGUACUGAAAUCCAAACGUGUGCCCAAUGCCUCCUUCAACUUCUUCCAGAACUGAGAUGUAUACUUAGGGUCUCGGUCGGAAAUAAUCGACACUGGCACUCCAUGUAGUCGCACUAUCUCUGCCACAUACAACCUAGCCAACUUUUGCAGGGAGUAAUCAGUACGAACUGGUACGAAAUGGGCAGAUUUUGAUAACCUAUCCACCACUACCCACACAGAAUCUUUCUUGGUGGGUGUUAAAGGUAGCCCACUCACAAAGUCCAUAGUGACUCUCUCCCACUUCCACAAUGGAAUUUUCACCGGUUGCAGUAAUCCAGAAGGAAAUUGAUGUUCAACUUUCACUUGCUGGCAUGUUAGACAUUUCCCCACGAACUCCGUUACUUCUCGUUUAAGCCUAGGCCACCAGUACAAUUCUCGCAAGUCGUGAUACAACAUAUUCCCUCCAGGAUGCAUGGCACAAAGUCCCCCACGAGCUUCCUUCAAUAAUGACUGUCUCAAGUCAGAGUCCUUCGGAACACAAAUUCUUCCUCGGAAGCAUAAAACUCAUUCAGUAUUCAGUCCAAAAUCUUCAUUCUCGCCCUUCUCAACUUGCUGAAACCGAAGAACCAACGAGUUAUCCUUCAACUAUUUUUCUUUAAUCUGUUCAGUCCAAAUAGGCCUCACUUACAAUUCUGCUAACAGACUUCCAUCAUCAAACAGACUCAAACGUGCAAACAAGGCUCUAAAAUCAGAAACAACCCUUCGACUCAACGCAUCAACCACCAUGUUAUCCUUACCUGGGUGGUACUCAAUCGAACAGUCGUAAUCCUUAAGUAACUCUACCCAUCUUCGUUGACUAAGGUUUAACUCUUUCUGAGUUAACAGAUACUUUAAGCUCUUAUGGUUCGUGUAUAUAAUACACUUUUCUCCAUAUAAGUAAUGUCUCUAGAUUUUCAACGCGAAGAUCACUGCUUCUAGCUCUAAGUCGUGCGUAGGGUAGUUCGCUUCAUGAGACUUAAGCUGUCGCGAAGCAUAAGCGACCACCUUACCCUAUUGCAUCAGUAUACAUCCUAACCCCACAUGUGACGCAUCGCUGUACACAGUGAAGUCCUUCCCAAAUUCUGGUUGAAUCAACACUGGUGCUUCAGUCAACACCUUUUUCAAAUGGUCAAAAGCUUUUUGCUGACUCUCAGUCCAAACAAAUGCUACCCAUUUCCUUAACAGUUUCAUCAAUGGUGCAGCAAUCAGAGAAAAUCCUUCUACGAACCUUCGGUAAUAGCUUGCCAAACCCAGAAAACUCUAAAUUUCUGAUACUGAUUUUGGUGGCUUCCAUCCCAGAACUACCUCAACUUUUCGAGGAUCCAUUUUAAUUCCUUCAGCAGAAACCACAUGACCUAAAAAAGUCACUUCUCGCAACCAAAAUUCACACUUACUAAACUUUACAUACAGUUCCUUCUCUCUCAGCACUUGCAGCACAAUACGUAGAUGCUCCUCAUGUUUCUCCUCGGUUUUCGAGUAUACCAGAAUAUCAUCGAUAAAAACUACCACGAAUCGAUCCAAGUAAGGUUGGAACACUCGAUUCAUCAGAUCCAUGAAAGCGGCAGGUGCGUUCGUCAACCCAAACGGCAUAACCAGGAACUCAUAAUGACCAUAUCGAGUCCUGAAUGCUGUCUUAUGAAUAUCCACUUCCUUUACUCUUAACUGAUGGUAUCCAGAUCGAAUGUCAAUCUUGGAAAAUACCGAAGCUCCUCUAAGUUGGUCAAAUAAAUCAUCAAUCCUUGGCAGAGGGUAUUUGUUCUUUAUCGUUAGUUUGUUCAACUGGCGGUAAUCGAUGCACAUGCGCAUUGUCCCGUCCUUUUUCUUCAAAAAUAGCACCGGUGCUCCCCAUGAAGACACGCUUGGCUUAAUGAAGCCCCUAUCCAACAACUCUUGAAUUUGAGCCUUUAACUCCACUAACUUCUUCAGUGCCAGCCUAUACGGUGCGAUGGACACAGGCGCCGUUCCAGGAAACAAAUCUAUUCCAAACUCAACUUCUCGGUUUGGAGGCAAUCCUAGAAGCUCCUCCGAAAAAACAUCUUGGAACUCCUUUACGGUCUUAAUCUUAUCCACUGUCAGUCUCUCCUCUUCUGACUGACUUACAAAUGCCAAAUAGACCUCACAACCUUUCCGAAUCCACUUUUCGGCUCUUAAUGCCGACACCACAUUGGAUAAAUAAUCCCUUCGCUCACCUAUCACCAUAACCUCCUCAUCCUUUGUGGUCCUUAACACCAUUCGUUUAGCAGCACAAUCCAGAGUCGCUUUGUGCUUAACAAGCCAGUCCAUUCCCAAAAUGAGAUCAAUCUCUCUGAACGGUAACUCCAUCAAAUCUCCAGGGAAAAUCUUACCUUGAGUUUCUAAGGGUACAUCCCUAUACAGUUUGUCUACCCUAACCGAGUGACCCAAAGGACUUAGUACAGAUACCCCACUCACAAUCUCCUCAGAGUGCACACCCAAAGACCAGAUAUGGCACAUGCAACAUAGGAAUGAGUAGAUCCAACAUCCACCAAGGCAGUAUACGGCAUGCUAGAAAUAAAAAACGUACCAGUUAUGACGUCGGGUGCGUCACCCUCCUCGCGGCGACGAGCAGCAUAUACCAAAGCUGGCUGACGAGCUUCAGUGUUAACAGUACCCUUACCACGUGCCUCACGUCCAUGGCCAUUGCCACCGCAACCUCGGCCAUGUCUUCUCGACGGCGACGGUCCACCUCGCACUGUUUGCACGGGUUGCACAGACCUUUGUUCAACCACUUGAGCCUGAGCUGGCCUCUUAGGACAAUCCCUGAUCUUAUGUUCCUUUGAUCCACAACGAAGACAAGCCCUAGAACGUUUCCAACAUUCCCCCAGAUGUAUUCUACCACAAUCUCCACAAGCUUGUGGUCUAACAGUAUUCACCAAAACCGCUCGAAGUGGUUCUUCCAUCUUAGCUCUCUUAACAUUCCGGUUUGCAGCACCAGUUGGUCCAGCAUCUCUCCUGAAUCGAUUUUGAUCCCUGUCACGGUUCCUUCGUUCAGCUUGCUUCUCUUCGGCUAUCUUAGCCUUUUCUACCAGUGCAGCAAAAUCGCGCUCUCUUUGCGGAGCUAUGAGCACCCUUAGCUCAUCCCUGAGGCCAUCCUCAAAGCGAACACUGUACUCGUAUUCAGUAGAGGCAAUACCAUUAGCAUACCGGCUCAAUCGCAGAAACUCUGCCUCAUAUUCAGCAACGGUCUUACCACCCUAGGUUAGGUUCAGGAAUUCCUUCCUUCGCGCAUCCACAUAGCUAGCUCCAACAUAUUUCUCCUUGAAGGAUUGCUUAAACAACUCCCAAGUUACCUUCUCAGCUGGGGUACCCUCUCUCACAGUGAUCCACCACUGAUACGCCUCGUCCCGUAGUAAGGAUACUGCUCCUUUUAACUUUUUCUCUACUGAGCAGUCCAAGUCAUCCGUAAUCCGCUCCAUGGCUUCCAGCCAGUACUCAGCCACAUUUGGGGCUACUCCAGAUACACCCCUAAAAACUUCCACUCCGUUGGCCCGGAGUCGCUCAGAAAUAGACCCCCUGGUCAUGGGCCCGAUAUUAGCUCUAGCUACCCUUUCCAAAACUCUUAACAUGGCCUGGGACAGAGCGUCAUCCCCCGUGGCCUGAUCAUACGGCCCAUUCUCAUCCACCGGUGGUGGUCAUGCUACUCCAGCGGGUAUGUGUUCAGAAGAUGAAGAUCCAGCUUGAGUACUACCUCGGCCUCGACCACGGCCUCGACCACGGCCUCUUCCCCGAGUACCUCUCGUACUCAUAUCGAUUUAUCUGAUUACAAAUUUUAUGCAGUUAGUUUACUGUUUCCACUGUUUAUUACAAAAUAUCUUAUGAAUAGAUAAGGUUUCAGAGUUGUUCUCGCGUAACCAUAGUUUAGCUACUGUCUCAGUUUCCUAGGGCUUAGUUUACCCUACAGUCUCAGUUUCGUAGCCUUUACGCUAUAUUAUCUAUAGUACUAUCUCUAAGCUUUAGUACUAACCACAUUACAGUUCAAUAUAUAAAACAGAAUAGUACUUACAGCCUUGGUGCCGGGGAUUCAGUGUGCCACCUCAUCACUUUUCAGAUAAACUCAAAAGAUUUAAGCUUUUUGAAAUCCAUUUUCCAAACAUUUGUGUAAAAAAAACAAGUUUGGAGAUUAUCUCCUUUAAACAGGAAAUUUAUUUUCAAAAUUCAGUUUUUUUUUAAAAAAUACCCUCUUUUUUUUCAUAAAGUUUUGAAAACCCUUUUUGGACCCGAUCCACAGCCGGGUUGUUGUAACCUAGGCUCUGAUACCACUUAAUGUAGCACCCCAAACUUGGCCCAGACGUUAUGGUCGGAUCCGA
Molecule: long non-coding RNA, 8752 nt
Filed under: Gossypium barbadense (sea-island cotton)
Lineage: Eukaryota; Viridiplantae; Streptophyta; Magnoliopsida; Malvales; Malvaceae
Description: long non-coding RNA (GBAR_LNC009767)
Source: RNAcentral